AAACAUAUGUAUUUUUCUUGCCAACGCCGAAACUGAAAACUGAUUGCAGUGGGCAUGCAGCGAGCUCAGGGAGCUGGUGGAAUCGCGGAUACGGCUCUCCCGCCUUGCGAAUCGGCCAUCUUCUAUACGUAAUAUAAGGUGACGUCCAAAUGUCACGCUCAGCAGCGGCUGCCCCGGAAAAGCGAAGGCGAAUCUCGCAGGCCAUGAUUUUAUUCACUACCGGCACCGGAAGCGAUUGUGGGAUCCGAAUACACGUCACAUUCGCCACGUUUUUUUUUUGAAAAAACGAAAGCGAAUCUCGGAGGUCACAAUUUCAUCCACUACCGGCGCCGGAAGCGAUUGUGGGACGCGAAAACACGUCACGUUCGCCAUGUUCCUUAAAAAAAAAAAACGAAAACGAAUAUCAAAGGCCACGAUUUUAUUUACUGUUGAUACAGGAAGUGAUUGUGGGAGCUGAAAACAAAACACAUUCGUCGUGAUUUUUGGAUAUUCCUGUAUUGCGCAGUGUUAUUGCCUUUCGCGUUUAAAAAAAAAAAAAGAAACUCGAAUGCUUCGAAAUUUCGUACAAUAAAGGAACAUUAACACGUACUAAGA
Molecule: long non-coding RNA, 594 nt
Organism: Rhipicephalus sanguineus (brown dog tick)
Lineage: Eukaryota; Metazoa; Arthropoda; Arachnida; Ixodida; Ixodidae
Exons: 2
Source: RefSeq, a predicted model, not a curated record